This 107-nucleotide small nuclear RNA is filed under the name Mustela putorius furo (domestic ferret). The record is from RNAcentral. Lineage: Eukaryota; Metazoa; Chordata; Mammalia; Carnivora; Mustelidae.
GUGCUCACGUCAGCAGCACAGAUACUAAAAUUGGAAGGAUACAGAGAAGAUUAGCAUGGCCCCUGUGUGAGGAUGACGUACAAAUUCUCGAAGCGUUCCAUGUUAAA